CCGAGCGCCGGCUGCGCCCCCCAGCCCGGCCCGGGGCCUACCGCCUGCCCGGCCCCCUGCCACUGCCAGGAGGACGGCAUCAUGCUGUCUGCCGACUGCUCUUGAGCUUGGGCUGUCCGCCAUACCGGGGGACCUGGAUCCCCUGACGGCUUACCUGUUGAAGGUCUAAUUGAUACGUUUGACUUAUGAUGACCGUUUAUGCACUUUCAAAUGAAUUUGCUUUCAAAAUAAAUGAAGAGCAGCUGUCCUUCUUUCCUCUUUUAAGUGUUCAGCUGUGGCAUGCUCAGAGGUUCCUGCUGGAUUCCAGCUGGAGCAGUGUGAUACCCUUCUUUUUCAGCUGUUCGUGCCUUCCUUUCUUGUAUCCACCAAAGUGGAGACAAAAACAUGAUCUCAAAGAUACACAGUACCUACUUAAUUCCAGCUGAUGGGAGACCAAAGAAUUUGCAAGUGGAUGGUUUGGUAUCACUGUAAAUAAAAAGAGGGCCUGGGAAUUCUUGCGAUUCCAAAAAAAAAAAAAAAAGAAAAACAUCAUGAAAUUGCAUAUUAGAAAUGAAAUCUUGUAUUCCAAGCACAACAUGAGAAAGCAGCAAGAAUCUAUGGCAAAAGCUGUUCUUGUUCACAGCUGCUGGAGUUAUGAGCAAUAGCCUUUCAGCAUAGCUCUCAAGGAUCCAAGCGGUCUGAAUAAUUAAACCUGGGUCCCCACACGGCCCGGCGUUUCUCUACAUGCAGGUGCCAUUUCUGGGUCAAAUGUGAAACAGCCCUGCUGGAGAAACCCGGAGAAUGACUUGGCUGCCCUCUCUGCAGGCGUCUGGAACCAAGUGGUGGUUUGGAAC
Molecule: long non-coding RNA, 833 nt
Filed under: Homo sapiens (human)
Lineage: Eukaryota; Metazoa; Chordata; Mammalia; Primates; Hominidae
Description: HSALNT0353679
Source: RNAcentral